AAAUAAUGAGGCUCUGGUAUAGAAAUUGCACCUGCUCUGGAUAAACAUUAUCUAUCAGAUCAUGGUAUGUAAUUGGAGACUUGUGUUUUACAGAGUAGUUCUUAAUUGAGAAACACAAAACAUAUAAGCUUACAUUGAUGAACAGUUUCAUUACACCAUAGAUUUAUCAAAAGGGUAAUGUAACCUCUACCUUAUUUAAUUAAUUAAUUCAUUUAACAAAUCCUUAUAUAAUGCUUACGUAAUCAUACAAAAGCUUAUACAUAAUAUAAUCUUUAUAUAAAACAUAUUAUUAUAUAAUGCAUACUUCAGGCCCUACUACAUAUUAUUUAUGUUUAGAAACCUCCUUUCUUCCUUAUAAUAACCCUAUGAGGUAGACAUUAUCUUUUUCUCUCACUUUACCAGUGAGGAAACUAAGAUAUAGAGUGGUUAAGUGACUUAUUUAAUAUCACAGUUUAUUAACUCUAGCGUCUCAGUGGCUAAAAUAUUUCUGUAUUUUCUUUAUAGGAGUGAAAAUCCCACUUGCUAAAAUUUUCUCACAUCAUUUGCCAAAUAUUAAUUUAAAAAGUCAUAUUCAACUUAAAAAAAAAAAAAGAACUUAAUACAUGCCUUGUGCUCUGCUAGGGUUUUUUUCCCCUAACUUAAUUUUUCUAGUAACUGUGAGAUAUGUGCUAUUAUUACCAGUUCGCAGGAAAAGCUGCAAAAACCAGAAUGAGUAAAGAAACUUGAUAUAAGUUAGAAAUCAUUGGCAGUGUUAAUUAUCAGUAUAUUAUUAGUUACUGAUGUAAGCGUGUGCGAGGAGAAAGGCUUCUUGUUACUCAUAUUAACAUUAUUGCUUCUAUGUUUCAAUAGAUUAGUCCGAUAUUGGGCUAGGAGUUUGUUAAGAUUUUACUCUCUAGUCAAGGUUGUACCCGUUUCUAAAAAGCUGUACCUUUUUAGACUAUCUCUCACAUUCAUGUCUAUAGAAUUUAAGCAGGCUUCCUUUUAAUGUAUGUUAUGUUGACCUCCAAGUAAAAAUCACCCAACAAUUAUGCAAAUCAUGUUAUAAUAAUAGAGUUCUAUG
RNAcentral lists this long non-coding RNA (1060 nucleotides) under Sus scrofa (pig). Its description in RNAcentral is "lncRNA (ENSSSCG00060039881.1)". The record is from RNAcentral. Lineage: Eukaryota; Metazoa; Chordata; Mammalia; Artiodactyla; Suidae.